GAUGAAGAACGCAGCGAAGUGCGAUAAGUAAUGUGAAUUGCAGAAUUCCGUGAAUCAUCGAAUCUUUGAACGCAAAUUGCACUUUCUGGUAUUCCGGAGAGUAUGCCUGUUUGAGGGUCAGUAUAAUAAAUAAAUCGUGGUUGUUGCCACCUUUUCGUGGUGAUGCUUCGGAAUUGAGUCGUCUUACCCUUCGGGUUAAGUGACUUAAAAUUUUUUCAUACGAUUUCGAAACGUAUUUAAUGUAUUAUGUACGUUCACGAAUAUCGAAUGUUUUAUUAGGUGCGGUCAUUUUUAUGAAUUCGCGUCUAUAAUUUUUUUUUUUUGACCUCAAAUCAGGUAAGAAUACCCGCUGAACUUAAGCAUAUCAAUAAGCGGAGGA
This 379-nucleotide unclassified non-coding RNA is filed under the name soil metagenome. RNAcentral's name for it is "partial contains 5.8S ribosomal RNA, internal transcribed spacer 2, and large subunit ribosomal RNA". The stretch from base 1 to 120 matches the Rfam family "5.8S ribosomal RNA", at positions 35 to 154 of the family's 154-position model. The record is from RNAcentral.